CCAACGACAUGAUAAUAUAUUUAGGGCGCUGGAAUGAGUCCCAUGAGACUUAUAUUUUAGGUUUCCUCUGCUGAAAAAAGCUGUGAAUGUUUGGGCAAUUGAACUUCAGCUUCCUGAUUUAUAGGGUGUUUUUUUCAAGACCAAUGUCUGGCACACAGCAGUCUAAGUAAUAGUUAUUCUGAUUAUUGACCUCUUAACGACUUCAAUCCCUUAUUUAUUCAUUCAUUCAUUUACCCAUUCAUUCAUUCCUACCCCCCAACCCAAAUCAAGUAAUGAACAUCUACAGUAAACCAAGAAACUUUAAUUAAUGUUCUUUUCUACCAUUGCACAAAGAUUUAGUUCUUUGAAGCAGUUCAGUGAAUUUUUCUUCAGUGUUCUUCAGGAAAGUACAUUACGGUAUCCUUCACAAUUCUUUCAUAAGGUUCCCAAUUACUUUGUGAGUACAGUGGACCAGAAUGAUUGUUUUAGUCCUACUUUAAUGGGGGACAAGGAGGGAGGAAGUUGCUGCAUGGGCAGCUGGAUACUCUGUGGGUAGAAGGUGGAGGUGGUACCAAUUUGAGAUAAAGACAGACCUGAGAUUUUCAUCAAAGUAAUGGCUUGUAACUGCCUCUCUCCCAUUUUCAUAUAUAACCCACAGGCUGAUAGUUGGAGUUUCUUAUUUGUUGUUUUUUUUUUUUUUUUUUUUCUGAGUAUGAAGUUUAAUUAAAUCAUAUUUUAUCUUUGUGUACAAAUUCUGGGUUAGGGCAAGUUGGGGUGAAUGGCAGGUCUAAUUUGCCAUCUAAAAUCAGGUCACAUGGCCCUGAGCUUGCUACAAUCUGGGGAUGAUGUUUUAACGUCAGGGGAUUUUAACUGAAUUUUAAAGCAAUAUAAUCACUAAUUGAAGAAUCUGCGAUUCAAGAAGCUGAAUUUUCAGACUAAAGUGUUGCACGAAUAUUUGAACAAUUAAAAAUGUUCAGACAUGCAUCAGAGGAAUAUGCUAGUUGAACCAAAAAUGUCUUAGCUCAUAAUAAAUAGAAUUUAAGGGUUACCAAAUUUUGGCACUUAAGAAAGACAAUUUUUUUUUAAGUGUUGUAUCAGUUUUAUUACAUAAAUACAAACAAGCGAGUAUAUUUGUUAUUAAAGGGACCAACCACCCACCAGAAUGGUAUAAUGAUUACCUUAAGCUAAAAAUAUCUGACAAACAGCAGCCUCAGAAAGAAAAUUUAUCUAAACUUCCCUUUACUGACUUAAGCAAAGCCAUAAUCCCCAUUCUGAAGGAGUUUUCUGUUCAGGAGAAGACUGAUUCUUAACACUGGCAUGUGAGACUUCAGCUGCCAUAACCCUCCUUUAGGGGAGCUUCCAGCCCGGAAGGACACUGCCCACAGCGCCUGAAUGAAAAAUUGUGUGAACAAGCCAGAUAGAACCCUCUGUACCUUCCCAUUAAAACUCUAAACCACCCCCACCUCCCUUGUUAACCUGGCAUAUAAACCAUGACCCCUGGUCAUGAGGAACCCCUCCUUUAGAUUGUUCCCAAAAGCUUGUGGAUUCAACUUUUCUCUUAUGUGAUGGUUAGCUCUAUGUGCCAACUUGAAUGGGCCACAAGGUGCCCAGAUUUUUGGUCAUACAGUAUUCUGGGUAUUUCUGUGAGGGUGUUUUUGGAUGAGUGUAAUAUUUAAAUGGGUUGAGUAAAGCAGAUUGCCCUCCUUAAUCUGGGCUGUCCUCAUCCAAUCUGUUCUGGUCCUGAAGAGAACAAAACGUUGACUUCUCCCUGAAUAAGUGGGAAUCCCUCCUGCCUGACUGCUUUCAUGCUAAGACACUGGUUUUUUAAGUCCUUCAGACUGGAAGCACACCAUUGGCUCUCCUGGUCCCCAGGUAUUCAAACUUGGACAGGACAUACAAAACUAGCUCUGCCUGGUUGCCCGUUUUCCUACUGAAUAUCUUGGGACUUGUCCGCCUCCAUAAUCUUGUGAGGCAAUUCCUUACACUCCAUCAAUCAUUCAGUCAACCAUUCCUACUGAUUCUGUUUCUCUAGAAACCCUAAUAUAUCUUGUUAAUCUCUGGAGAACUCUAACAUAUCUUGUUAAUCUGUAUGUUGUUAAUGAAUUCACCGUUCUCCACCCCCUUGGACAUAAGUUGGUGGAGGAAAAGUUUGUCCCCCAGAAGAUUUGAUGACGAGAAUGAAUUGUCUGUGACUCUAUCACUCACUCUGAAGGCUGCAAUUAAGAUUCUGAAACCUCCCACCAAUUAAGUGAAGGCAACUUUCACUUGACUUUUUCAAAAGAGAAAUGUCCAUAAUUUAGAAUUAUGAGAGAAAGCUUUUCAGUUAAAACUAGUUCUCUGGGUAUUGUGAUUCUUGGUUUGGAUCAGUCCUCCCCAGAGAUAGUCAUGUCCAUCUGUUACUGUCUUUUGUGUUACUGUUCUGUAUUGGGCUUUCCAAAAAGUGUUUUCUGUAAGAAUGAGGAUCAUAGGGUAGAAUACAGGCAUAGGUUCUAGAAAUCUGUGCUGUGUUUGUGGUGGUCUCAUAGACCAAUGAGUUUGUGAUUCUCACUGGACUGCCGCUCACUUGGACAAAUGUGGCUGGAAGUCAUCUAUAAAACUGGAUAAGGCUCUCCUUCCAUCUUGAUUUUGUGUUCGGAGAGCUCGGUUUACAUCCAGAGAGAGCAUUCUCGCUAAUUUUAUGUUUGCUGGGGGUACAGAUUGUAGAGUCUGUACCUGGAAGAGGCCUAUUGUCAGGUCAGUGUUCUGAGACAUGAAGUACUAUUAUCAGCUCUCAGGGGAUUGUCUAACCUAAAACCUUUCCUAUCUCAUUGCCUUUGUGGUGUUGAGAAUUCCCUUCUUAUUAUUGCCCAUCUGGAAUCAUGGAUUAGAUGGUUCACGAUUGGAGGCAUCUCACUUUUGUGGGAGACUGAAGCACCAUUCUUAUUGCCUGUGGUAACUUAUUUUCCUUCUUUCCAGCUAUCUUCAGGAGUUACUUUGGAUUACAGAGGCUGCAUUUUCUGUGUCCUCUUCAGGGGCACCUGUCGUUUACAUAGUUAAAUUGUAUUCUAAACCUGGGAGGUUACCUCUGGGUUUUCCCCUAAAAAGACUUACUGGUUUGUGUUACAUUUGAACAGUUUCCCAACUGUCAGCUAGGGGAUUUAUAGAGACCUCUCAUCCUAAACAAAUGCCCUCUUGGUACUUCUGGGAGGAUCAAAUUUAAAGACAAACACAAAAAAGUAUCAUGGCUAAAAGAUUCCUUUAGCAAAAUUAAAGAGAAGAAGUCAGAUUUAGAACAGAAAUUAAAGUUCCCCAUGAAUUCUCCUCUGCCUCCCUCCUAUACUCUCCUUUACUUCCAACUCCCUAUUCCUGCCCUCCUCCCUCAAGAUCUUUCAGACCUCUGGGCCCCUGUCCUAAAUCCAACUCUUCUGAAUCCAGGCCCACAUCAUCAAACAAUUCUUUUAAUCCUCCCGAAUUCUCAGGAUUCCCAAGAAAAAUCUCUUGAUCACCUAACCACCUGCUUUACAACAAUUACAGGAGGCUCUAAAACUGACCUCAAAACAUGGGGCAGUCAAGUCAUUCAUAUGAUUACUGUCAACCCAUAAAUAGCUCUAGCUGAAGCCUGCGAAAUAUAAGGCAAGGGUCAUUUCACUGUCCUUUUUUUUUUCUUUUUUUAAAUGAUUUUUAUUUUUUCCAUUACAGUUGGUUUAUAGUGUUAUGUCUAUUUUCUACUGUACAGCAAAGUGACCCAGUCACACACACACAUAUACAUUCUUUUUCUCACAGUAUCCUCCAUCAUGCUCCAUCACAAGUGACUAGAUAUAGUUCCCAGUGCUAUACAGUCACUGUCCUUUUGAUCCCACCUACUUUCUGUGACUCUGCGAUCAGGCACAAAGCAAUCAGACUCAACUAGCCUCAAGCCUUCCAUGAAAUCCCCAUAAUGUGUGUACCCUUCACCCCCACCACAAGGAACACAUGAAUCCCGUACAGUAGCUAAUUUUCUAAAUUACAAAAGUCCUUUACUUCUGUUUUCUGGAGAUCCUACCACAUUUAGAGAAGAACUAAAAAUAUGGGUGGCCAUCCGCAACCCCACUUGUAGGGAUGCCAGGGAAUAUCCUUCCCACCUCUGAUUAUAUUAGUCCCGUGACAAGCCAGAUAGGCCCCUAGAGAAAAUCCUCUUCACUGAAUACACAGAUGGCCGGACCUUGUCCCACGUUCUCUUCCACAUGAUCAAGAAGUGGUCCAACUGGAAGCUAAUAUUCAGGCCACUAGGGAAGCCUUCCUUCCAAAAGUUAACGGGGCUAAAGUAGAACUACGUGCUCGGAAAGGAGCAUAUUGAGCAUAUCCCAAAGCCUUUGUGGAAGGCAAUGCACACAUAUUCCAAUGACACAACUGAACUAAGUACAGAGGACUCAGAAGAUAGAAAUAUUUUAUGUCUUAAUACAAAAUCCCUAUGAUAGAGAGAAGCAAAUCCAGAAUAAUGGAAUUGAAUGGGCAGGCUAGUCUCCCUCCUCCCAGGAUUUAUUUUCUAGAGGAAUAGAGACUCUCAUGCACUCCCACUGCACUGUGUAUUUACCUCUACUAUAUUAUUAUUCUGAAAUCUUAUUUUUAAUAGUUCACAUAUGCCAGUAGGCCGGGGGUUCCCUGAAUGCUGGGACCAUACUCUUUCAGUAAUGUAACCUUAGCACCAAAACCUAUGUUUAGAAUAAUAUCCAUUCAUUAUUGAUUGGUUUGCUUAAUGAAAAUGCCAAGCAGGAAAUGAAGAAAACUUGGACAAGGUCACAAUGAGGAGCUAAUAACCACUCAGACAGAGUGAAGGAAAUUGUCUAGAGUAACUUCCAGGGUUUUGAUUGGCAUGCAGGAGAGCCUGUAAUGUAUUGCUUGUGAUUAACUUGGAGGUGAAACAAAAUAACGAAGACACUGUCAGCCUGGGAUAGGUGGCUGGGGUGAGGGUUAUUUUUCUAUCCAGGAUAUUGCCAGGUUUUUCAUAUAAAAAUAGAAGCAAAAUCAUUAAUUAUUAAGAUUCAACUAGUGUGUUGGAAUGAUCAACAGUAUCCAUGUAAAUAAUGUUUUCAUUUAUUAAGUUACCUAAGCAAGGUCAAGUAGCUGAGCCAAUUAUUGUUAGAUCUAGGUUCCUUGAAGAUGAGAUUAUGUAGGCUUUCAGGGAUCAUUCCGUCCCAGAGUUUAUAAUACAGAAAAAUAAAUUAGUAUCCUUACAUACUGGUUAUGUUCUAACUACAAUGCAAGGAGUUUGUGUGUUUCUUAAUCCACAUAUAUCCUGUUGAUGAUAUAUUGGAAGCUCAAACAGAAGUUUUAUCAGGAACCAGAUAGUAGAUAAUUUGCCUCUCUUGCUAAGGCAGCUUUUUGCAUGUACUGAAGUGUUUUUGCAGGUUGGGCCUGACUGGGAAUAAAACGACUUAGCUCACAGUUGGGGCAACGUAUGACCUCAAAGACUCAUUUUCAUCAGGCAGAAAAACAUCACCACUAACCAUCUCAGCAAGUAUCCCUCAGUGCAGACUGGAAAGGUCAUGUUCAUUGAACUUCCCAGGACUUGAGGUGUAAAAGCAGAUAUCACCUUUGUUAAAAGAAUGCUUUUCUGAGGUUUCUGCAGUUGAAUAUAAUAUUUGUAGAGAUUUAUAUGUAAGUGCUCAUUUUCACCCAUGUGAUUUCACCCAAACCACACCCAUGCUAUCCAUUUAUUUUUCUUAUGGGAAAUAAAUUAAUGACAGACUCAAUUCUGAUUUAACUAGCUUUACUAGGAUGUAUAGAAAUAGAAAAUAGAGGCAGAAUAUAGAAAAUAGAGGUAGAAUAUGGUCCUGAGCUUUGACUAGACCUGAGCGGUUGCAGUUGGUGUUCCACCAGUUCCUUAGGAUGUUAUCCUAGGACCAACUCUACUCGUCCAGCCUUCCUUCACUUCCAAGGAAGAGGGAAGAUGGGGGAAUCAAACAGCCAAGCCAUCCUCUGGGAAUUGCUACAGAAGCCACACCUGACAGGAGCCACAUCCACCCUGAAGGGGAAUGUGUCCAGCCCUUAAAGAAAUUUAAAUGGAGAUGAGGCUGAACAUCUAUCCUUU
RNAcentral lists this long non-coding RNA (6028 nucleotides) under Sus scrofa (pig). RNAcentral's name for it is "lncRNA (ENSSSCG00000058418.1)". Lineage: Eukaryota; Metazoa; Chordata; Mammalia; Artiodactyla; Suidae. The record is from RNAcentral.